CUUCUCUGCCCUGAGCAGGUCUGGGUCCUGGCUGUCUUCUCUGCCCUGAGCAGGCCUGUGUCCUGUCUGUGUCUUCUUUGUGCCCGAAGCAGGCCUGUGUCCUGGCUGUGUCUUCUCUGCCCUGAGCAGGCCUGGGUCCUGGCUGUGUCUUCUUUGUGCCCUGGGCAGGCCUGUGUCCUGGUUGUGUCUUCUCUGCUCUGAGCAGGUCUGGGUCCUGGCUGUCUUCUCUGCCCUGGGCAGGCCUGGGUCCUGGCUGUCUUCUCUGCCCUGAGCAGGUCUGGGUCCUGGCUGUCUUCUCUGCCCUGGGCAGGCCUGGGUCCUGGCUGUCUUCUCUGCCCUGGGCAGGCCUGGGUCCUGGCUGUCUUCUCUGCCCUGAGCAGGCCUGGGUCCUGGCUGUCUUCUCUGCCCUGGGCAGGCCUGGGUCCUGGCUGUCUUCUCUGCCCUGGGCAGGCCUGGGUCCUGUCCUGGUCGUGUCUUCUGUGCCCUGAGCAGGCCUGGGUCCUGGCUGUCUUCUCUGCCCUGGGCAGGCCUGGGUCCUGGCUGUCUUCUCUGCCCUGGGCAGGCCUGGGUCCUGGCUGUCUUCUCUGCCCUGAGCAGGCCUGGGUCCUGGCUGUCUUCUCUGCCCUGAGCAGGCCUGGGUCCUGGUUGUGUCUUCUCUGCCCUGGGCAGGCCUGGGUCCUGGCUGUCUUCUCUGCCCUGGGCAGGCCUGGGUCCUGGCUGUCUUCUCUGCCCUGGGCAGGCCUGGGUCCUGGCUGUCUUCUCUGCCCUGAGCAGGCCUGGGUCCUGGCUGUCUUCUCUGCCCUGGGCAGGCCUGGGUCCUGGCUGUCUUCUCUGCCCUGGGCAGGCCUGGGUCCUGGCUGUCUUCUCUGCCCUGGGCAGGCCUGGGUCCAGGUCUUCAGAGAAUCAUGAGCUACUUAGUAACCUUCAGUGGCAGCGGUUCCAUCUUUCUGGGUUGCCUGCUGAACUAAGAAUUUCCUUUCCCUCUUGUGUGGUUUUAAAAUGUUAGAGAUUGACGUAGAUGAAACUGUGGUUUGCAAAUGGUUUAAACUGUAUGAAAGCCUCCUGAGGAAGUUUUUGUUAGAAAAACAAUUUCAUCUAAGUAACUCAAAUUUGUCAGUUACUGUUUUAGGGGAAAUAACUUUCCUUAUUUUAGAGAAAAUAAUUAUCUAUUAUAAUAGCUUGCCUCUUUUAUCCUUUUAAAAUAAAAGUGCCCCAGACUGUUCUAUUUCCUAGUAGUUUUAAAAAUAGUGUUAGAGUCUUGAAAACAGUGUUGAGUGUAUGAAUGAAGACACCUAGACAGUACUUAGACAGAUACUUGUUGUAUAGUUAUUCACAGUAGCACGUCAGACGUAAUGAGUAACACUGUUGCAGUUUAUAUCUUUAUUGUGGGAUUUGUUAAUUAGAAAAACAACAUGACAGCCCUGUGGCUGGUAGACACCUGGAACCCCAGCAUUUGGGAGCUGAGGCAGGGCAAUAGCCACAAACCUAAGGCAGCCUGGGCUCCGUGGUGAAUUUAAAACCAGGCAAGGCUAUCUUGUGAGAUCAUCUCAGGAAAUUAGCACCGUGUGGAAUCUGGUAUGAUACAGUUACUUUUUUGUUGUUCAUGCCAGAAAAACAUUUUUCUAUGUUUAUUAUUUUGUAUGUAUACAUGUAGUGUACAUGCGUGUUGAAGUGUGUUUGUAGAGAUCAUAUGAUAUUAAGGAAUUGGUUUUCCCUUCCACCAUGCAGGAUUAUACCAAGUUGUUAGGCAUGGUGGCAAGCACCUUUUAACCCAUCUUGCCAGCUCCGGUUUCAAAAAAUUCUUGAAUAAAAUAAAAGGACAUCAUUAGAACAACAGAGAGAUAAUCCCUGUUCCCCUUCUUGGAUUACAGAAUUAACUUUUAUUUUUCUAUGUUUACAUGAACCACAUAAAUGUUACUGUGCAUAUGACUCUCUUUCACAAACGUGUUGCAUGUUAUCCAGGGAGAUGGUGCAGCAGGUUAAAGUGCUUGCCAUGCAAGUCUGAUAAACUGAAUCCCAUCCCUGGAACUCAGGGAAAGAAAGAGACCCACUGUGUACAUGUGUCCUUUGACCGGCAAUUGUGUGCUCCGGCACACACGCAUUCACACAGUCUUACUAUUACAUUUCUAAAGGUUAAUAGGAUGCAUUUCAUCUGUUUUCCAUGUUUUGAGACUUAAAACAAAUGAAAAAGCAUUUCUCAGCUUGGCCUAAACAGUUGCAUGUAUUUAGCAACUCGUACCUUAUAUUGCAUGAUUAUCUUUUUAAUGGGUGUUGAAGCAGAGCCCAGCUCUGAGGUAGUAGCAUGCCCGAUAGCCUGAUGGUCUGAAGGACAAGUUUUGCCUCGUUAGUGAUUUUUUUUUUUUUUCAUUCAUGAGACUGGAUUCCCACUAUCCCCUGCCCCCUCUCCUUUCGGAGUUACUGGAGAUCAAAGCCGUGAUGGUGGAUAGGGGCAAGGCCGGCUUUAUGAAAGUGGAUAUGACCGUCUGACUCCAAACAGAUUUUGAAGGAUGAUAAUAGGCUGGCACACACUUAAUUUGUAACUGCCAAGCUGUGGCCUCUUUUGGAGAGACAUUUGCAUGAAAGAAGGUUCGUGUCCAUUAGGGAGGAAGAGAAUUUAGGGAUGGAGUUGGUUGCAGAUUGGGUGGUGAGUAGACUUAGUAUGCUAUGAAGGAAAAUUGUGAGAGAAUGUUUCUGGUGAGGUUUGUUUUGGGUAGGCUUUUUGUCUUUUAUUUUGAGUAGACUUGUAUCUGCCUGCUUCCUUGCUUCCCUUUAAGGUUUAGGUGAUCAAAAAGUGCAAGCAGCUAACUGUUGCUACAACUGAAGACCACUGUUUAUGCGCGGUUGUCAAAUGUGAGUGGGCUGAAGUGCCCAGGUUCUCUGUCCCUGCACCUCUGUUUCAGAUCAGUAAUAAUUUGCCUGUAUGGGUUUUUGGGUUUAUGAGAUAGGACCUUGCCAUAUAAACCCAGGGUGGCCCCAGACUAACAGGAGUCCUCCUACUUGAGCCUCCCUACUGCUAACAUCACAGGUAUGUGUCAGCAUGCCUGUCUGGAGCUGAUUUUGUGAUAAUGAAACUUAAUUUUGGUAUGUAUGUAUGUAUGUAUGUAUGUAUGUACAUAUGUAUAUAUGCAUGUACAUAUAUAUGUAUAUAUGUAUGUAUGUAUGUAUGCACUUUAUAUCUCCAUCCAGGAUAAAUUUUGGGUUGAACGUUUAGUGGCUGGGUCAGUGUCACUAUUGCUCCACUGGGUUUCCUUCCUGACUACAGGAGGUGGCCUCUUCAGGUUUCAUAUCCCCAGUAUUUUGAGGCACAGCUAAAGUUACCUUUAAUGAUCCUUGGGUACCUCCCCUAUCCCAGGUCUCUUUGCAUGUCCUUGAGGUUCCCCCACGUCCCCAACUCCCACCAGUUGCAGAUUUCCAUUCAUUCUUAUGACUAUCUGGCCAUUUCUCCUGUCCAUCCCCACACCUGAUCCUGAACCCCCCUCCUCAUUCCAUCAACAUAAUCCACCAUAUGAAAAAAUGAAAGAGAAAAAAAAAUCACGAUCAUCUCAUUAGAUGCUGAAAAAGCUUUAAUGAAAUCUAACACCCCUUCAUGUUAAAAGUCUCAGAUCAAGAAUACAAGGCACACCCCUAAACGUAAUCAAAGCAAUAUACAGAAAGUCAAUAGCCAACAUCAAACUAAAUGGAGAGAAGCUUAAAGCGAUUCCUCUAAAAUCAGGGGCAACACAAGGCUGUCCACUUUCUCUCUCUUCAACAUACUACUUGAAGUUCUAGACAGAGCAAUAAGACAACCAAAGGAGAUCAAGGGGAUACAAAUCAGAAAGGAAGAAGUCAAAGUAUGGCUCUUUUCAGGUGAUAUGAUAGUAUACAUAAGCAACUCCCAAAAUUCUACCAGAGGACUCCUAAAGCUGACAAACCUUCAGCAAACCGGAUGAAUACAAAAUUAACUCAAAGAAAUCAGCAGUCCUUGUUUAUACAUAUGAUAAAUGGGCCCAGAAGGAAGUUAGGGAAACAACAGCCUUUAUAAAACCAGAAGUGUGUUUUAUAACAAGAGCUGUAUGGGUGUCCCAUAGACAAGCUGGAGCUGUUGGACCUCUCCGUUUGGCUACCCUGACUUUUUUCCUUUGUCCUUCACCAUUAUAUACUCUUAUAUUCUCUCUCUCUCUCUCUCUCUCCUUCUCUCUCUCUCUCUCUGCCUCUGUCUGUCUGUCUGUCUGUCUUGUCUGUCUAUCUGUUUGAAUUUGGUUUGUUUUUCAGAUAGGGUUUCUUUGUGUGGCUUUGGCUAUCCUGGAACUCACUUUGUAGACGAGACUGGAAUUAAUUCAGAGAUCCAUCUGCCUCUGCCUCUCAAGUUCUGGAUUAAAGGUGUGUACCACCACUGCCGGCCUGUCAUUAACACUUGGCACAUUGGGGACAAAUGUGAUCUGUGAGAGUUGUUGACAUCUGAGAAUAUAACAAGUUGACAUACGCCGGCCAGUGUCUAACCUUGUGGCUGUGGCUUUAAUGGAGGCUGACAUACGCAUCCACUGCAAAACCAGGGUUAGGUUUGAACCAGUUCUUUUUCUGUGUGGUAUGGAGUGAGCUUUGAGACAUAGGAGUUCUAGCACAUUGGGGGCUUACAGCUUUAUGGUGUCCUCUUCCAGAAUGUUUCUUGAGGGUGAACCUGGGGUGGGUUUAAAUCUCACUACCUCUCAGCCUGUCACUGGUGGAUUCAGACUGGCCACUCCAUUGCCUAGUGCUAAUUCACCUCUGCUAGCUGUGUGACUCAGGACAUAGAAAGUGGCUUACUCAGCUGACAAUGUUUCCUUCUGUUGCUAAGAAGAGAGGGUGGCUUCUGAGGAGAUAGUGCAGCAGGGGCCUGCUCCUGAGGAAGGUUUUUAUGAGGCAUCUUCUGGGUUCCCCUCCCUCAGUGGUUCCUACAUCAGUUUGGUGUACAACAUUGCUCUGUCAUCCAUUUCUUGAUUCAUGCCGCAGCUCUUCUUUCAUAAAAAAACAAACAAAACAAAACAAAACAAAAACAAACAAAAAAAACAAACAAACAGUUAAGCACAGAGA
Molecule: non-coding RNA, 5049 nt
Organism: Rattus norvegicus (Norway rat)
Lineage: Eukaryota; Metazoa; Chordata; Mammalia; Rodentia; Muridae
Source: RefSeq, a predicted model, not a curated record